CGUGCCAGCAGCCGCGGUAAUACGUAGGGUGCAAGCGUUAAUCGGAAUUACUGGGCGUAAAGCGUGCGCAGGCGGUUAUGCAAGACAGAUGUGAAAUCCCCGGGCUCAACCUGGGAACUGCAUUUGUGACUGCAUGGCUAGAGUACGGUAGAGGGGGAUGGAAUUCCGCGUGUAGCAGUGAAAUGCGUAGAUAUGCGGAGGAACACCGAUGGCGAAGGCAAUCCCCUGGACCUGUACUGACGCUCAUGCACGAAAGCGUGGGGAGCAAACAGGAUUAGAUACCCUGGUAGUCCACGCCGUAAACGAUG
This 308-nucleotide ribosomal RNA is filed under the name uncultured bacterium. RNAcentral's name for it is "bacterial SSU rRNA". It matches the Rfam family "Bacterial small subunit ribosomal RNA", at positions 504 to 811 of the family's 1533-position model. The record is from RNAcentral.